GUAGUCCAUGCCGUAAACGUUGGGCACUAGGUGUGGGGCUCAUUCCACGAGUUCCGCGCCGCAGCUAACGCAUUAAGUGCCCCGCCUGGGGAGUACGGCCGCAAGGCUAAAACUCAAAGGAAUUGACGGGGGCCCGCACAAGCGGCGGAGCAUGCGGAUUAAUUCGAUGCAACGCGAAGAACCUUACCAAGGCUUGACAUACACCGGAAUCGGCCAGAGAUGGUCGCGUCUUCGGACUGGUGUACAGGUGGUGCAUGGUUGUCGUCAGCUCGUGUCGUGAGAUGUUGGGUUAAGUCCCGCAACGAGCGCAACCCUCGUCCUAUGUUGCCAGCACGUCAUGGUGGGGACUC
RNAcentral lists this ribosomal RNA (350 nucleotides) under uncultured Sanguibacter sp. Its description in RNAcentral is "bacterial SSU rRNA". It matches the Rfam family "Bacterial small subunit ribosomal RNA", at positions 790 to 1140 of the family's 1533-position model. The record is from RNAcentral. Lineage: Bacteria; Bacillati; Actinomycetota; Actinomycetes; Micrococcales; Sanguibacteraceae.